Molecule: ribosomal RNA, 301 nt
Filed under: uncultured bacterium
Lineage: Bacteria
Description: partial 16S ribosomal RNA
Rfam family: Bacterial small subunit ribosomal RNA
Source: RNAcentral
CAGUCGCCGCGGGAAUACGAAGGGGGCUAGCGUUGCUCGGAAUGACUGGGCGUAAAGGGCGCGUAGGCGGUUUUGACAGUCAGAUGUGAAAUUCCUGGGCUUAACCUGGGGGCUGCAUUUGAGACGUCAAGACUAGAGUGUGAGAGAGGGUUGUGGAAUUCCCAGUGUAGAGGUGAAAUUCGUAGGUAUUGGGAAGAACACCGGUGGCGAAGGCGGCAACCUGGCUCAUUACUGGCGCUGAGGCGCGAAAGCGUGGGGAGCAAACAGGAUUAGAUACCCCCGUAGUCCCUGUCUCUUAUAC